GUUGUAUGGUUAAGUGACUAAGCGUACACGGUGGAUGCCUUGGCAGUCAGAGGCGAUGAAAGGCGUAAUAACUUGCGAUAAGCCCAGAUUAGGUAGUAAUAACCUUUUGAGUCUGG
This 116-nucleotide ribosomal RNA is filed under the name Vibrio cyclitrophicus. Its description in RNAcentral is "partial 23S ribosomal RNA". It matches the Rfam family "Bacterial large subunit ribosomal RNA", at positions 1 to 108 of the family's 2925-position model. Lineage: Bacteria; Pseudomonadati; Pseudomonadota; Gammaproteobacteria; Vibrionales; Vibrionaceae. The record is from RNAcentral.